RNAcentral lists this ribosomal RNA (352 nucleotides) under Pseudomonas sp. Its description in RNAcentral is "bacterial SSU rRNA". It matches the Rfam family "Bacterial small subunit ribosomal RNA", at positions 67 to 421 of the family's 1533-position model. Lineage: Bacteria; Pseudomonadati; Pseudomonadota; Gammaproteobacteria; Pseudomonadales; Pseudomonadaceae. The record is from RNAcentral.
CGGAUGAAGUGAGCUUGCUCAUGGAUUCAGCGGCGGACGGGUGCGUUAUGCCUAGGAAUCUGCCUGGUAGUGGGGGACAACGUUUCGAAAGGAACGCUAAUACCGCAUACGUCCUACGGGAGAAAGCAGGGGACCUUCGGGCCUUGCGCUAUCAGAUGAGCCUAGGUCGGAUUAGCUAGUAGGUGGGGUAAUGGCCCACCUAGGCGACGAUCCGUAACUGGUCUGAGAGGAUGAUCAGUCACACUGGAACUGAGACACGGUCCAGACUCCUACGGGAGGCAGCAGUGGGGAAUAUUGGACAAUGGGCGAAAGCCUGAUCCAGCCAUGCCGCGUGUGUGAAGAAGGUCUUCGG